Molecule: ribosomal RNA, 510 nt
Filed under: Hepatozoon sp. BT-2014
Lineage: Eukaryota; Apicomplexa; Hepatozoidae
Description: bacterial SSU rRNA
Rfam family: Eukaryotic small subunit ribosomal RNA
Source: RNAcentral
CGGUUAACGGGGAAUUAGGGUUCAAUUCCGGAGAGGGAGCCUGAGAAACGGCUACCACAUCUAAGGAAGGCAGCAGGCGCGCAAAUUACCCAAUUCUAACAGCAUAAGAGAGGUAGUGACAAGAAAUAACAGUACAAGGCAGUUAAAAUGCUUUGUAAUUGGAAUGAUAGAAAUUUAAAUACUUUUUAAAGUAUCAAUUGGAGGGCAAGUCUGGUGCCAGCAGCCGCGGUAAUUCCAGCUCCAAUAGCGUAUAUUAAAAUUGUUGCAGUUAAAAAGCUCGUAGUUGAAUUUUUGCUAAAAAUAACCGGUCUGCUUUUAUUAAUAAAAGUGGUAUCUUGGUGUGUUUUUAGCAAUAAUGUCCUUUGAAAUGUUUUUUACUUUAUUGUAAAAAGCAAUUUUCAGGAUUUUUACUUUGAGAAAAUUAGAGUGUUUCAAGCAGGCUAACGUUUUGAAUACUGCAGCAUGGAAUAAUAAAAUAGGAUUUUAGUUCUACGUUAUUGGUUUUAAGAA